ACGAACGCUGGCGGCGUGCCUAAUACAUGCAAGUCGAGCGGACUGAUUAAGAGCUUGCUCUUAUGAGGUUAGCGGCGGACGGGUGAGUAACACGUGGGCAGCCUACCUUGUAGAUUGGGAUAACUCCGGGAAACCGGGGCUAAUACCGAAUAAUCCAUUUUGCUUCAUGGCGAGAUGUUAAAAGGCGGCUUCGGCUGUCACUACGAGAUGGGCCCGCGGCGCAUUAGCUAGUUGGUAGGGUAAUGGCCUACCAAGGCGACGAUGCGUAGCCGACCUGAGAGGGUGAUCGGCCACACUGGGACUGAGACACGGCCCAGACUCCUACGGGAGGCAGCAGUAGGGAAUCUUCCACAAUGGACGAAAGUCUGAUGGAGCAACGCCGCGUGAGUGAAGAAGGUUUUCGGAUCGUAAAACUCUGUUGUAAGGGAAGAACACGUACGAGAGUAACUGCUCGUACCUUGACGGUACCUUAUUAGAAAGCCACGGCUAACUACGUG
Molecule: ribosomal RNA, 497 nt
Filed under: uncultured bacterium
Lineage: Bacteria
Description: bacterial SSU rRNA
Rfam family: Bacterial small subunit ribosomal RNA
Source: RNAcentral